GACAGAGGGUGCAAACGUUGUUCGGAAUUACUGGGCGUAAAGGGCUCGUAGGCGGCCAACUAAGUCAGACGUGAAAUCCCUCGGCUUAACCGGGGAACUGCAUCUGAUACUGGAUGGCUUGAGUUCGGGAGAGGGAUGUGGAAUUCCCGGUGUAGCGGUGAAAUGCGUAGAGAUCGGGAGGAACAUCAGUGGCGAAGGCGGCCCUCUGGACCAGCACUGACGCUGAGGCACGAAAGCGUGGGGAGCAAACAGG
This 253-nucleotide ribosomal RNA is filed under the name uncultured bacterium. RNAcentral's name for it is "partial 16S ribosomal RNA". It matches the Rfam family "Bacterial small subunit ribosomal RNA", at positions 524 to 776 of the family's 1533-position model. The record is from RNAcentral.